This 465-nucleotide ribosomal RNA is filed under the name uncultured Burkholderiales bacterium. Its description in RNAcentral is "bacterial SSU rRNA". It matches the Rfam family "Bacterial small subunit ribosomal RNA", at positions 338 to 795 of the family's 1533-position model. Lineage: Bacteria; Pseudomonadati; Pseudomonadota; Betaproteobacteria; Burkholderiales. The record is from RNAcentral.
CCUACGGGAGGCUGCAGUGGGGAAUUUUGGACAAUGGGCGCAAGCCUGAUCCAGCAAUGCCGCGUGUGUGAAGAAGGCCUUCGGGUUGUAAAGCACUUUUGGCGGGAGCGAAACGGCGUUUGCUAAUACCAGACGCUAAUGACGGUACCCGCAGAAUAAGCACCGGCUAACUACGUGCCAGCAGCCGCGGUAAGACGUAGGGUGCGAGCGUUAAUCGGAAUUACUGGGCGUAAAGCGUGCGCAGGCGGCUUUGUAAGACAGGUGUGAAAUCCCCGGGCUUAACCUGGGAACUGCACUUGUGACUGCAAGGCUAGAGUGUGUCAGAGGGAGGUGGAAUUCCGCGUGUAGCAGUGAAAUGCGUAGAUAUGCGGAGGAACACCGAUGGCGAAGGCAGCCUCCUGGGAUAACACUGACGCUCAUGCACGAAAGCGUGGGGAGCAAACAGGAUUAGAUACCCUGGUAGUC